UGGAUUGCAGCGGUCAGAUGAGCGGAUAUCGAGUUCUCUGCCAUCCCCAAUUUUUUGUCGGUUUGCUCGCAGCAUUUUCUUUCCGAUCUUUCUGAAGCCUUCCCCCGUGUGUUCUGGAUUGUCGCGAGUUUUUCGGAGUGGACAUUGUGUGGAUUGUUCAUUGUGGGACCUGUGUGGAGCGGGCAUGGAGUGUCUUGUCUUCUUCCCCUGCCCGCAGAGGGCAGGAGAAGAAGGGAGCUCAUUAUGGGCCCCUGCCCUUGACCUACCUACACACCUGUGAUUACAGUUCACCUGGUGUUUUUGUGUCUAAUAGACUUUGUACACAGAUUUCCUGAGUCCGCGUGUGAACCCAUUCUGUCAGCCCCACAAGCUGUAUAAUGUUAUAAUAUUUAUUAAAG
Molecule: long non-coding RNA, 398 nt
Organism: Oreochromis aureus
Lineage: Eukaryota; Metazoa; Chordata; Actinopteri; Cichliformes; Cichlidae
Source: Ensembl